GGAGGCAUAGCUCAGUUGGUUAGAGUACUUGCUUGACAUGCAAGGGGUCACUGGUUCGAAUCCAGUUGUCUCCACCA
RNAcentral lists this transfer RNA (77 nucleotides) under Clostridiales bacterium. RNAcentral's name for it is "tRNA-Val". It matches the Rfam family "tRNA". From Rfam's summary of the family: Transfer RNA (tRNA) molecules are approximately 80 nucleotides in length. Their secondary structure includes four short double-helical elements and three loops (D, anti-codon, and T loops). RNAcentral also lists the same sequence under 2 other names. The record is from RNAcentral. Lineage: Bacteria; Bacillati; Bacillota; Clostridia; Eubacteriales.